Molecule: ribosomal RNA, 436 nt
Filed under: uncultured bacterium
Lineage: Bacteria
Description: partial 16S ribosomal RNA
Rfam family: Bacterial small subunit ribosomal RNA
Source: RNAcentral
AGCGAACGCUGGCGGCAUGCUUAACACAUGCAAGUCGCGCGGGUGGUUUCGGCCAUCAGCGGCGGACGGGUGAGUAUCGCGUAGGAAUGUAUCCCGAGGUGGGGGACAACCCUGGGAAACUGGGGCUAAUACCGCAUGUGGCCUGUGGGUCAAAGCCUUAGGGCGCCUUGGGAGCAGCCUGCGUCCGAUUAGGUAGUUGGUGGGGUAAAGGCCUACCAAGCCUGCGAUCGGUAGCUGGUCUGAGAGGACGAUCAGCCACACUGGGACUGAGACACGGCCCAGUCCCCGUGGGGGGGGAGAAGGGGGGAAUAUUGGGAAAGGGGGCGUAGCCGAGCCACGCAGGGCGGGGGGGGUGAAGAGGGGUUUCGGAAUGAAAAGCCCUUGGGGGGGGGAGGAAGAGAGCGGUCCCCAAGAAAAAAGCCCCGGUAAACUGGGG